This 320-nucleotide RNase P RNA is filed under the name Thermoprotei archaeon. Its description in RNAcentral is "RNase P RNA component". It matches the Rfam family "Archaeal RNase P". From Rfam's summary of the family: Ribonuclease P (RNase P) is a ubiquitous endoribonuclease, found in archaea, bacteria and eukarya as well as chloroplasts and mitochondria. Its best characterised activity is the generation of mature 5'-ends of tRNAs by cleaving the 5'-leader elements of precursor-tRNAs. The record is from RNAcentral. Lineage: Archaea; Thermoproteati; Thermoproteota; Thermoprotei.
ACCCGAGGUAAUAGUUUACGGGCUAUUAAGGCCUGAGGAAACUCCGCUCACCACAUGGAACUACGGCGCCGUAAUGGCGCACGGCUAAAAGCCGUGGCUCCGGCACAGAAACGACACGGCCUCCAUCGGAUGUCUAUGAUGCGGUGAGGGCUCCCUGGCAACAGGGAGCCAGUAACCCGCGGAUGUAUGAUGGAGGAUGCGGUGAAACGGCCGUCCCGUAGGGUGUAAGGGCAAGUAUGCGCCGAUGACUUUCCAUGGAAGGUGCGGGUAGCCCGCAUAGCCAAAUACUAUGGAACAGAAAGCGGGUUAUUACCCCGGGU